This is an RNA transcript of Prionailurus viverrinus (fishing cat), 3114 nucleotides long. It is a transcript of the gene named family with sequence similarity 227 member A, with no coding region annotated. NCBI's taxonomy places the organism in Eukaryota, Metazoa, Chordata, Mammalia, Carnivora, Felidae. The record is from RefSeq and is a predicted model, not a curated record. The transcript is spliced from 20 exons.
UCCGCGAAACAUCAGAAACACUUGAGGACUGCCCUCGAUACAUUGAAGACAAUCCACGGGGGGGAAUGUCUCCUGGAGUCAUUUCCAUUCCCCGUGCGAUAGGCUGGGACGAGGAACUACACUCUCCCUCCCCACAAGCCCAUUGGUCUGGUCUCCCCGACCACCCGGGACCAUCACUGUGGUAACGGCGUCUCGCGGGCGCCGCGGUGGCUCACUACGGUUCCAUUGUUGUGGGAAGGGUGGCAGUGGUGACUGCGCCUGGCGUUGCCUGGGGAACGCCAGGACUCACAGUAGCAAAAUGGGCCUCUCCCCGACGCCCCUCCUCCUCCUCUUCCUCCCCGAGCACAAAGCAAAGGGCACCCCUUCCUGGUGGAUGUCGGGUGUCCCAUCCAGAACUUUGCGGGGUCCCCUGAGGGACCCGUGGCGGAACCGGCCCCAAGUUCGUCGGAUUUCGCCUAUGUCUUCAGACAGAAGUCCGUUAGAGGAGGGAGCAAGUCUGGUUUCGCUCACCACCCUGUCUCCAGGAAGAACACACCGCUGGCUUGUGUCGGGCACUCAGAGGCUGGCUGAACAGAGAACAAGAUCGGAGUGGGAAAUGAGAGAUUCUUAAGUGGAAACGUACUCUUUGUCAGUUUACGAGAAACUGGAUCAUGGCUUAUUUCAGGAACAUAGAUACCAUCAAUGUCACUGCCUUGCCAAUGGUGCCAGUAGACGAGCACCUGACUGUCUCCCUCGCUGCGCGGAACGCGAUGAAGAAUGCCGCAAGGAAGAAUCUGGAAGACAACCCACCCUCCUGCCUUAUUGGUUCCAUCCACCAGGUGAACGAAACGAUUGGGGAGCUAGAUCUGAGUCCCAAUGCGUUGGCCAACAACCUGGCAAUUGAGAGAUUUGAGUUGGAGAAGAAGGCCUUGAGAGAGAAAAGUCACGGCGACCCGGGAGACAGAGACAAGAGUCACAGAAAAUCACAGCAUAUUUGCAGAGGCUCGGAAUCUAGGAAUGUCAAAUCUUUCAUCAAUAAAAGGAAAACAGCAGAUAAAAAUCUGCUGGUGGAGCUGUACCAGCACCCACAUAAAUUUAACAGCGCUGUGCCGAACAGGCUUCCAAAUGGGGUGAACUUCUGUGACAUGGUGGGCAAUGUGGUCCGGGCUGAGAGAAACCGCCUUAGUGGCAAGUCUUUCUGCUCCGAUAGAGAAUUAGAGAAGUUUCUGUCUUCUCCUUCUCCAAGAGCCAUAUGGCUGGAUAGCUUCUGGUGGAUCUUUCACGAGAGGUACCAGCCAAACAAGGAGAUCCAGAAUAAGCUGUUUGAUCGGAUAUCCCAACACUACGCGUCUCUCUUGUUGCAUGAAUCCAAAUCCCACUAUGAAGAGGCUCUCUUGAAAAGGCUGCCAUCACUUCUGAGUAAAGCCCUGUACACCAGCUUCUGUUGCUGCUUCCCACAGUCCUGGUUCAACACGCACGAUUUCAAGUCGGACAUCUGCAACACGAUGAGCCUGUGGAUUUCGGGUAUAUAUCCUUGCCUACAGAGCUAUAACAGCUGGGAAUACUCGGAACUAGAUCCAGAGAGAUUCCGGAGAGAAGAAUUAAUUUUGCAGAGAAAACGACUGUUAAAGAGAAGAGAGUUUCCUUUGUCCACUUCUAAGAGCUACGCCUUCCAGAAGUCUACCCAGAGCAAGGGCCCGAAGGUAAGCUCCCUCCUGCCACCAUCACUGCCAGCAUCUCCUCCCACACGAAACCAAAUGCUACCGCUACCGAUCAAGGCCUCCUUUUUCCAGAAAGCUGGACAAAUAAAUGUCUGGGAAAACAAUGAAAGAGGCCUUUGGCUGCCCGUUUUUUCUUCCUGUAUAAAUUCAACCACGGAGAAAGGUCCUGUGGCCAAGAAGAAAUCACGGGAUGGCUCACAAACACAGAAUGCCACAAAAGAGAAUCGCCGGCAGACUCUGGUCUUGAGGAAAGCUGCAAAACAAGUCAAGAGGAUAUCAGAAGCAAGAGAAUAUGAGAAUAUGCUUCCCAAGCAGUCUUACCCAGCCUGCAAAAGCCCCGAGCUGACUUUGAACUUCUUCAACAUUUACGGGAAGAGCCCUCUGAUUGUGCACUUCCUCCAGAACCACGCCAGUCUGCAGCAGCACGGCAAAGACGUGUUGAUAGUCAGAAGGGAAAAAACCAAGAGCAUCCCUGAGUCCAUCCUGACGUACGCCGAGGUCAUCGAACUGACCCUGAUCAACAUGAAGAAGCGGAAGGAAAACCUUCGCGUGCUGAACUGGCUCCACUGGAAUGAAUGGAGUUAUUUUCAUGAAUACCUAAAGGCACUACAAGAAAACUUCCUCAGGGAGGUGAAGAAUAUCGAUCAAAGAGCAUUGGAUCAAAAGAAGGCAAAUCGCACGUUCAUCCAACCUUCAACCUUCAUUGAAGAGUCCCCCGACAAGAAAUUUAGAGGAAGCCAUGAGAGGGAGAUGGCGUUUAUUUCAAGGAAGGAAAAGGAGGGGAGGAAACGAGAAGCAAGACAGACGUUGAGCCUCUCUCCCUCGUCACUCUCAAGCCCUGAUUAAUUCUCUUCCCUGGGACUAGGAAGCUCCCGCAGGAGCCCCGGCUAUUUCCGCCAGGAAGGACACCAAGGAGUCAAAACCAACUCAGAAAAAGGAAGUCAGUUUCCAUAACCCCUCACUUUGUAACACACCUAGAUGAAUCCUUAUCCAAGAAUUGGGAGAACUUUCGGCUGAAGCCUGCCCAUGUUGUUGGGUUUCAUCUAAAACAGAAACAACAACAAAAAAAUAAUACUGCAACACAUUUAAUCAUUCCCAGUCCAUGGGACAAAGAAUAUUAAAGUUCACUUCUCUCUGGACCGAAGUCAGGAUUUAAACUGAAGUCACCUCAUUCAUUCAUGCCUUUACCAACUAAAUCUUCCACUCACUUAGUAGCAGUAAUACUAUGGAAUACAUAAUAUUAUUAUAUAACACAGUAAUAGUAAUCAUAGGAGAAUCAUUUAUUGAGCACUUAAUGACAUGCCGAGUACUCUGUUAAGUCCUGCUUUUUUUUUUUAACUUUUUUUUUUUUUAAUUGAGAGAUAGAGACAGAGCAUGAGCAUGGGAGGGGCAGAGAGAGGGGGAGACACAGAAU